Molecule: ribosomal RNA, 601 nt
Filed under: uncultured Bacilli bacterium
Lineage: Bacteria; Bacillati; Bacillota; Bacilli
Description: bacterial SSU rRNA
Rfam family: Bacterial small subunit ribosomal RNA
Source: RNAcentral
AGCGGAUGAGUUGCGAACGGGUGAGUAACGCGUAGGUAACCUGCCUCUUAGCGGGGGAUAACUAUUGGAAACGAUAGCUAAUACCGCAUAAAAGUCGAUAUCGCAUGAUAUUGAUUUGAAAGGUGCAAUUGCAUCACUAAGAGAUGGACCUGCGUUGUAUUAGCUAGUUGGUGAGGUAACGGCUCACCAAGGCGACGAUACAUAGCCGACCUGAGAGGGUGAUCGGCCACACUGGGACUGAGACACGGCCCAGACUCCUACGGGAGGCAGCAGUAGGGAAUCUUCGGCAAUGGGGGCAACCCUGACCGAGCAACGCCGCGUGAGUGAAGAAGGUUUUCGGAUCGUAAAGCUCUGUUGUAAGAGAAGAACGAGUGUGAGAGUGGAAAGUUCACACUGUGACGGUAACUUACCAGAAAGGGACGGCUAACUACGUGCCAGCAGCCGCGGUAAUACGUAGGUCCCGAGCGUUAUCCGGAUUUAUUGGGCGUAAAGCGAGCGCAGGCGGUUAGAUAAGUCUGAAGUUAAAGGCUGUGGCUUAACCAUAGUACGCUUUGGAAACUGUUUAACUUGAGUGCAGAAGGGGAGAGUGGAAUUCCAUGUG